CACUGACGUCGCGACGCAUAUCAAUAAGCGGAGGAAAAGAAACUAACAAGGAUUCCCCUAGUAACGGCGAGUGGAGCGGGAAGAGCUCAAAUUUGAAAUCUUAAAGGGUUUCCCUUUACGAAUUGUAGUUUAAAGAAGUGUUUUCUGUUGGAGUUUCGGUAAAAAUUCUUUGGAAUAGGACAUCAUAGAGGGUGAGAAUCCCGUAUUUGACCGUUACUUUCCAGCUGUGUGAUACACUUUCAAAGAGUCGGAUUGUUUGGGAAUGCAGUCCAAAAUGGGUGGUAAAUUUCAUCUAAAGCUAAAUAUUGGCGAGAGACCGAUAGCGAACAAGUACCGUGAGGGAAAGAUGAAAAGAACUUUGAAAAGAGAGUUAAACAGUACGUGAAAUUGUCAAAAGGGAAGCGUUUGGCACCAGUGUUGUUUUCCUCGAAAAUCAAUUAAAAAUGGCUCGAUUUUGUAUUGCUUGAGACCUUAAAAGCUCACUGUACAUUUUUCGUGUCUUUUUUAAUGCACUUUUCGUUUAACAAGUCAACAUCAGUUUCUUUUGCUUGUAAAAGGGUCAUUGGAAGGUGGCUUUCUUUUCGGAGAAAGUGUUUAUAGCCUUUGGCCUCUGCAAUCGGAGAGACUGAGGUCUGCAGCGUAGACUCUUCGGGGUUAGAUACAUUUGUGCUAAGUUAUAGCUUUUUAUAGACAACUUGUUGACUUAUAAUUAGUCUUGUAGCUUACUCGCUUAUGCUAUUUUACCUACGCUUAGGAUGUUGACGAGACUGUCGAUCUCAUCAAUACAUGACUCUGUGCAUAUCAAUAAGCGGAGGAAAAGGAGUAUACCUACGCUUAGGAUGUUGAUCUACAGAGCGAGAGU
Molecule: ribosomal RNA, 862 nt
Filed under: uncultured Neocallimastigales
Lineage: Eukaryota; Fungi; Neocallimastigomycota; Neocallimastigomycetes; Neocallimastigales
Description: partial large subunit ribosomal RNA
Rfam family: Eukaryotic large subunit ribosomal RNA
Source: RNAcentral